This 73-nucleotide transfer RNA is filed under the name Haemaphysalis longicornis (longhorned tick). It matches the Rfam family "tRNA". From Rfam's summary of the family: Transfer RNA (tRNA) molecules are approximately 80 nucleotides in length. Their secondary structure includes four short double-helical elements and three loops (D, anti-codon, and T loops). The record is from Rfam by way of RNAcentral. Lineage: Eukaryota; Metazoa; Arthropoda; Arachnida; Ixodida; Ixodidae.
GCCCGGAUAGCUCAGUCGGUAGAGCGUUAGGCUUUUAACCUAACGCUCCAGGGUUCAAGUCCCUGUUUGGGCG